UACGUAGGUGACAAGCGUUGUCCGGAUUUACUGGGCGUAAAGGGCGCGUAGGCGGUCGUGACAAGUCACUUGUGAAAUCUCCGGGCUUAACUCGGAACGGUCAAGUGAUACUGUCGGACUAGAGUACAGAAGGGGCAACUGGAAUUCUCGGUGUAGCGGUGAAAUGCGUAGAUAGUCGGGAGGAACACCAAUGGCGAAGGCAGCUUGCUGGGACGGUACUGACGCUGAGGCGCGAAAGCGUGGGGAGCAAACAGGG
Molecule: ribosomal RNA, 256 nt
Filed under: uncultured bacterium
Lineage: Bacteria
Description: partial 16S ribosomal RNA
Rfam family: Bacterial small subunit ribosomal RNA
Source: RNAcentral